RNAcentral lists this long non-coding RNA (4234 nucleotides) under Vitis vinifera (wine grape). RNAcentral's name for it is "long non-coding RNA (VVIN_LNC002623)". The record is from RNAcentral. Lineage: Eukaryota; Viridiplantae; Streptophyta; Magnoliopsida; Vitales; Vitaceae.
UUCAUUUAAAGGGAAAUCAUUAUUGGAAAAUACUUUACAAAUGUAAUCAGAAAAGUAUAAAUAUAAGGGUAAGAUUUUCUAUAAUCGAAAAUUACAAUAAAUAAUUUUUUUCCUAACAGAGUUUGUAAAGUCAUUUUUUAGAACAAACUUAAUUGUUGCCCUUAUUUAUUGAAUUGUAUACUGUAGGAGAAGCUAAAAGAUGCCUUUCCCUCCAUGAUCCUUCAUCAUAUGUAUGAUGACAAGGGUAGCAAGAAAGGAUGUAAAGCCCUUGAUACCCUUGUUGCGGGUGUUAUUUACACAACUCAAAAAAUGGUUUUAGCAUCAUGAGGGAAAUGGUUGGUACCCCACCCCCGCCCAAAAAACCCCCGAUCAUUUGGCAUUUUCUAAGUAGUCUAGAAUGAAUUCCUAGGAUUUAAAAUUUUCAACAAUAGCUUUGACGGCUUAAAUGCAUUCCAAGAAAAACCUAGCCCUCUGUUUGGUUUCCAAGAAAAUACAGGAAUGAAAGAAAACAAUAUUUUAGAGAAACAAAAGUUUUUGUUAUUAAAUUGGACUGCAUAUUGUUAUAUUUGAGUAGAAUUUUAAGUAAAUUUUGGAAUAGAAAGGAAGGGUUUUGCUAGAAAGAGAAGGGACAUGAAAAUGUUGAUUAGUAGAGAAUAAAGUGGUGGGCAUUUUUGACAAUAGAAACCCUAGCUGCUUAUCUGUCUCUUUUAUUAUUAUUUUGUCACCUCCAAAAACGUAAGGAGAAAGGGUUGAUUUGUAAGUUGGACAUUGAAAAAGCCUAUGACAGCAUAAGUUGGGAUUUCCUUAUGAAGAUUCUGCGUAAAUUGGGCUUUGGGUCUAGGUGGAUGGAGUGGAUUUGGUGGUGCAUCUCUACUGCCAAGUUCUCUGUUCUUGUUAAUGGUGUGCCAGCAGGUUUCUUUUCAAGCACCAAGGGGUUGCGUCAGGGAGAUCCCCUCUCUCCUUACCUCUUUGUUUUGGGUAUGGAAGUGCUUAGUGCACUGUUAAGAAGGGCGACUGUCGGGGGAUUCUUUUCAGGCUGCAAAUUUUGGGGGAGGGGCAGGAUGGAGCUAAAUAUUUCUCAUUUGCUUUUUGCGGAUGACACAAUUAUUUUUUGUGAAGCAAGGAAAGAAAACAUGACUUUUCUAAGCUGGAUUUUGGCUUGGUUCGAGGCUGCGUCUGGGUUAAGGAUAAAUCUAGCCAAAAGUGAGUUAAUUCCAGUUGGCGAAGUGGAAGAGAUUGAGGAGAUGGCUGUGGAGCUAGGUUGUAGGGUGGGGUCUUUGCCCAAUGUGUAUUUGGGGCUGCCGUUAGGGGUUCCUCACAAGGCUUCCUCGAUGUGGGAUGGGGUGGAGGAGAAGAUGAGGAGGAGAUUAGCCUUGUGGAAGAGGCAAUACAUUUCCAAAGGCGGGAGGGUUACCCUCAUUAAGAGCACGUUGGCCAGCAUGCCAAUCUACCAACUGUCCCUGUUUCGAAUGACCAAGAUGGUGGCGAGAAGGCUUGAAAAGCUCCAAAGAGACUUUCUUUGGGGAGGGGGAAGCUUGGAAAGGAAAGUCCAUUUAAUUAACUGGGAGGCGGUGUGUGCUCAAAAGGAGAAGGGGGGCCUUGGCAUUAGGAGGAUUGCCCGUUUGAACAAGGUUUUGUUGGGAAAAUGGUUAUGGAGGUUUGCCUUUGAAGAAGAUAAGCUGUGGAAGAAGGUGAUUAUGGAGAAGUUUGGUCAAGAGGGCCUUGGUUGGAGGACUAAUGAGGCUUGUGGGACGUUUGGAGUGGGAGUUUGGAAGGAGAUUCUGAAGGAAGCUGAUUGGUGUUGGAAUAACAUAGAGUUCAAGGUUGGUAAAGGGACCAAAGUUAGGAUCUGGACUGACCAUUGGUGCGGCAAUGCAGCGCUGUCCCAAACUUUCCCUCUUUUAUUCGAUUUGGCAGCUCAUAGGAAUGCAACGGUGAACGAAGUUUGGGACCCUAGCUUUGGCCAAGGAAGUUGGAAUAUCAGUUUCUCUAGAGACUUUAACGAUUGGGAGGUGGAUUUGGUUGGUAAUUUGCUGUACAUGCUAAGGGAUUACAAAAUCUCUUCAGAAGAGGAUUCGGUUUUAUGGAAAGGUGGGGGAAGUGGCAUCUUUAGGGUUAAGGAGGCUUACAACCUCCUUGUUGCUUCGAAUGAUAUUGUAUUCCCGAAUAAGGGCAUUUGGGUGGACAAGGUCCCAACUAAAGUUGUGUUUUUUGCUUGGGAGGCCACGUGGGGAAAGGUCCUAACUUUGGAUAGGCUACAAAGAAGGGGGUGGCAGUUCCCUAACCGAUGUUUUUUGUGUGGGUGUGAAGAGGAGACUGUAAAUCAUAUUCUUCUACAUUGUACAGUGGUCCGGGUCCUUUGGGAGAUUGUCUUCGUCUUGUUUGGCAUUCAGUGGGUGUUCCCUGAAACGGUUAAAGAUAUGCUUUUCAGUUGGAGGGGUUCUUUUGUGGGGAAAAAAAGGAAAAAGGUUUGGACUUCCAUCCCGUUGUGUAUUUUUUGGACGGUUUGGAAGGAAAGGAAUAGAUUAGCUUUUAGGGGGGGAUUCUUAUCUAUACAGAAACUCAAAAAUUCUUUUGUAUGUAAUUUGUGGAGUUGGGCUAGGGUGUAUAUUGGAGAGGAGUCCUCUUCACUCAUAGGCUUUCUAGAGUGGCUCGCGUCCAAUUGAGGGUAGGUAGGAUUGUGGGCUUUUUGUGGCUUUUGGGUUUGGCUGCUUUGUAUACGUCCUGUAUGCUGUGUGGCUUUUUGCCUUUUUAAUAUAACAUCUGCUUACUUAUCAAAAAAAAAAAAAAAAAUUAUUAUUUUGUCACCUCUCCAAACCUGAAUCUUCAAUCAAUUUCUAUUUUGUGGAAAGCAAGGCUCGCCCUUUUUAUUUAUUUAUUUUAUGUUUUGUUCCUGAGGAAACGGAGGAAAGGUGAAAGUAACUGACAAUUUCAGUCAUUUGAUUUCAGUCGCCUUUUUUUUCUCUUGUUUUCAUGUCCUUGCCUUUUUUUCUCAGCAACCAAAUGGAAGAUAGCUUUUUUCCAUCUUUAUUUGAAAUAAUUUUAAUAAGGGAUGCUGUCCUAGUUUGUGUUUUUUUCCUCUGGUUGCUCAGAAGACAGUGGAAAUGUGAAGAAAGUAAAAAUUGUGAAUCUUUAUGCAUUCUCAAUGCCUUUGUGUUGUUGCUGAGGACUCAAAACUUGGGAGCACAUUGUGAUUUUUUAACUCUUGUAGCUCAUUUUUGCUUUAUAGUUUAUAUGUUUUUACAGUUUUCCGUAGAAUCCAUAAGUUUCAAUUGAAAGUAAUUCCCAAGAGAAUUUUCUGCUAGACUCUCCAUGGAGAUUUUAUCUUCUCAUAUAUUCCUAAUGCAAAGAAAAUUUAUCUAUUUUUUUGGGGAAAAUUCUUUUUCAACACAAAAAACUUAGUCACUUGUAAAACUCAAUAGAGUGAAUGAGUUAAUGAUGCCGCAAUGCGAAACUCAGAUUUUGAGUUGACAAUUUUGGUUGGGAGUUCUCAGUGGUUGCUAUCCCUAUGGUACUUCAUUAUGUCUAGAUUUGAAUAUGAGGUCAGUAUAGGUGAUAUUGAACCUGUACUGUGUAAUGAUAUGUGACAUUUCAAAGAAAAAAAAAUCCUUUUUUUUCUUUGGUAACACCAUAUGGAAUAUUUGUCUCAGUGAAUAAAACCAAAAUGAUUCCCUGCUUGUUGAAAAAUGUAUUCACAUUACUCCUUUAAUUUUGAAAGGAGUUGAAUCUAUUGGAUUAGAAAUGGACUGACAAGUGACAAGUCAGAAUUUCUUUUGGUAAUUGCAUGAGAUGAUCUGAGUUGCCGACUAAAGGCAAAUAUCUUGCAUCACAAUGCAUCAUGAGACAUAUUCAUAUGGUUACUAACUGUAUUGUAUUAGGUAGUUUAGCUAAUGAAACCCAGGAUUUGUGCCAAAGAAACUGUUAUAUGCAUACUAGAUGCUUGAUUGGCUGAGGCACUAUUGGUAAUAUCAUGACCACCUUUUACUUAGUUACCAAAGGUGUUGGAUUUUGGUUAUUUUAUGAUUAUACUUGUUUUAAAAAAAAUGAAGGAAAUGUUUUUGUCAUAUAGCAUGAUAUCUGAUUUAUUUCUUCCAUUUUGUGUUCUUAUUUCACACGAAUUAUUCUGUGUAAUGAUUGUAAGUGAUCUUGAAUCCAGGUUUUUCUUUUUUCCCUCCUUCUUUGAGAUUUAUUAAACCUGUUCAUCAUAAAAAUUCUUCUGUUAGAGAUAUCUGAU